UUCCAUUACUUGGCCCAGAAGCUGUCUCUGCUGUCUCCUUAGCUGACGUAGGGACUGUCUCCGAUGCCGGCCCGAAUCGAACAUACCGCAUGUUUUUCUCGCUGAUGGAGCCGCAUGGAUGACGCUGGAUGGCGGUCUUCGCGCUUCAUGCGUUCCUUGACGCAUUCGCGUCGUUCCUGUGGCGUCGGCUAGCCUUCUUGUCUUUCCUUCGUAGGAAGCCACUCUCUACCACCCAAAUGAACGAGAUCACGAUAAACGUGCGCUUCUCGGCAGACCUUGUUAUACCGCUGAGCCUUGCGCGCGACGCGACCGUGCAGAACUUGAAGGAGCGCCUCGCAGAACGACUUUCGUUGCCUGUCGAAGAAAUUUGUGUGAUCUUCGCUGGCCAAGAACUUGUGGACCAAGUCUCAAUCAAGGACUACAAUGUGGAGGAGCAGACGACAGUGCAUGCGGUACGCUCGGCCAAUGGCGAGGCGUACAUGAGUGCAGAGGUAUGCUGUCCCCUGGGUGAAGGAAUCGUCACCUCACAGCUCACCGAAGAGGAGCACCUGGCACGCAAAACAGAGGUGGACAAAGCUCUGUUUUUUGUCUACUGUAAGCAGCCAUGUGACCGUGUGCUGCCAGGCAAGCUUAGGGUCUGCUGUGCCACCUGUGGUGAAGGCUCCUUCAUCCUUCAAAAGGACCCAUCCUGCUGGCAGGACGUACUCGAACCGGGCCGGCUGUCAGGGCAGUGCCAGAUCUGUCACGAGGUGCGGGCUGCGCGCUUCUUCUUCAAGUGCACAGGCACGGUGGGCUCACAUGACGAUCAGGUGCCCAUUGUGCUGCAACUGAUACGCUACAACUACCUUCGGGUGCCUUGUCUGGCCUGCUUGGACAUCAGCCAGCUUGUGUUGGUGUUCAAGUGUGCACACGUCAUCUGCCUGGACUGUUUUCGGGCCUAUUGCCACAGCCGACUUGACGAGCGUGGCUUUGUCCAGCACCCAACCUUGGGCUGGACACUUCCCUGCCCUGUGGGCUGUGCAGACUCGCUCAUCGAGGAGAGUCACCACUUCUACCUGCUUGGGAGUGAACAGUACCAGCGGUACCAGCGCUUUGCUGCUGAGGAGUGGGUUCUCCAGGCGGGAGGGGUGCUGUGUCCCCGGCCUGGUUGUGGGCAGGGACUGCUGCCCGAACCGGGCUGUGACCGAGUCAAGUGUGACCGGGGGUGUGGGUUUGUGUUUUGCCGGCAGUGCCUUCAGGGACACCACUUGGGGCCCUGCAGCAGCAGUAGAGAAAGUGGCGAAGAACCAGCCGCCACAUUUCAUGCAGGAAUCAGCUGGUCGGAGGUCCUUUGGCACAGCAGCGCAAGGCAGCUCGUGGGAUGAGGCCAGUCGACUGACCGUGCAGGCCACCACCAAGCCUUGCCCCAAGUGUCGGACACCCACCGAGCGCAGUGACUUGUUGUCCAGGUCGCUGGCCGCUUCGUCCACAUCGUGGAUCCGCCACAGCUCAUCCUCGUAGGCGCUUCCAGCCGUCUGCCAUUAUCGCAAGCAUCACGUUGCAGCGCUGCUUUUCGGCACCUGUUGUUUUGACAAGCACGCUGUGUGCGCCUCUUUCCUCGACCAUCCUGUUCAUCAGCAUGCCAAAGUUUAUCGGCGUCUGAUCAGCAUUUCCAUUUUGUGUGCCAACAAACUCUGUGUCCUGCAGCAGGCGUAUAACUCUACUUGGGGCCCAUGGCACCCAGCGGAACCAAAGACAGGCAGAAAAGAGAGCAACAGCCAUGCAAAUUCGACACUAUGCUCACUAUGACAACCAAGCGCCCCUUCUUCACUCUGCCCCUGGCUGCGCAUUGUGCGGCCGCACUCUCUGCUAUUACCUCAGAGUAAAGUCCGUAAACUGCGUAAAGAGUAACUGUUGCAGAGAGCCAGUUGCUGUUUUUUUUCUCUCUCGAGUCUGCAAGGUGCGUUUGUGGUGGCACUGGCGGCAAGGUUGCGAUGAGAACAGGCUGAGCAUUUUUGCGGUCACUCUUUUCGUCAGGUCCCAAGUGGCCGUAAAAAUAUGCAGCCUCAUCUUACCGCAUGCUUACUGCCAGUGUUUGCCAUCAGCGUCUCACUCAUCUAGACCACCGCUCCGGCCAGUGUGCCACCACAGCACGUUUACCGCUAGCGUGGAUGGGCAGCCUACAUAAGUUUCCUGUGUUUCCUGUUUUCA
Molecule: RNA transcript, 2190 nt
Organism: Dermacentor silvarum
Lineage: Eukaryota; Metazoa; Arthropoda; Arachnida; Ixodida; Ixodidae
Gene: park
Gene name: E3 ubiquitin-protein ligase parkin-like
Exons: 10
Source: RefSeq, a predicted model, not a curated record